CUCCUACGGGAGGCAGCAGUGGGGAAUAUUGCACAAUGGGCGAAAGCCUGAUGCAGCCAUGCCGCGUGUGUGAAGAAGGCCUUCGGGUUGUAAAGCACUUUCAGCGAGGAGGAAAGCUUAGUCGUUAAUACCGGCUAGGUGUGACGUUACUCGCAGAAGAAGCACCGGCUAACUCCGUGCCAGCAGCCGCGGUAAUA
This 197-nucleotide ribosomal RNA is filed under the name uncultured bacterium. RNAcentral's name for it is "partial 16S ribosomal RNA". It matches the Rfam family "Bacterial small subunit ribosomal RNA", at positions 336 to 525 of the family's 1533-position model. The record is from RNAcentral.